CAAGGGAUCUCGACCUCUCGCCUAGAGAGUGGCCAAGUGGAUUAGCUAGUUGGUAAGGUAAUGGCUUACCAAGGCGACGAUCCCUAGCUGGUCUUAGAGGAUGACCAGCCACACUGGAACUGAGACACGGUCCAGACUCCUACGGGAGGCAGCAGUGGGGAAUAUUGCACAAUGGAGGGAACUCUGAUGCAGCCAUGCCGCGUGUGUGAAGAAGGCUUUCGGGUUGUAAAGCACUUUCAGUGGGGAGGAAAGGGUAUGUUUUAAUAGAGCGUAUCUGUGACGUUACCCACAGAAGAA
RNAcentral lists this ribosomal RNA (297 nucleotides) under uncultured Gammaproteobacteria bacterium. RNAcentral describes it as "partial 16S ribosomal RNA". It matches the Rfam family "Bacterial small subunit ribosomal RNA", at positions 202 to 489 of the family's 1533-position model. Lineage: Bacteria; Pseudomonadati; Pseudomonadota; Gammaproteobacteria. The record is from RNAcentral.